This 478-nucleotide ribosomal RNA is filed under the name uncultured bacterium. RNAcentral describes it as "partial 16S ribosomal RNA". It matches the Rfam family "Bacterial small subunit ribosomal RNA", at positions 28 to 507 of the family's 1533-position model. The record is from RNAcentral.
GAUGAACGCUGGCGGCGUGCCUAACACAUGCAAGUCGAACGGAGUCCAGCCUUUAAGACCUUCGGGUCAAAGAGGGGAAGACUGAGUGGCGGACGGGUGAGUAACACGUGGGCAACCUGGCUCAUAGAGGGGGAUAACAGAGAGAAAUUUCUGCUAAUACCGCAUAAGCACACACUGCCGCAUGGCAGAGGGUGAAAAGAGAAUCGCUAUGAGAUGGACCCGCGUCUGAUUAGCCAGUUGGCAGGGUAAGAGCCUACCAAAGCGACGAUCAGUAGCCGAUCUGAGAGGAUGAACGGCCACAUUGGGACUGAGACACGGCCCAAACUCCUACGGGAGGCAGCAGUGGGGGAUAUUGCAAAAUGGGGGGAACCCUGAUGCAGCGACGCCGCGUGAGUGAAGAAGUAUUUCGGUAUGUAAAGCUCUAUCAGCAGGGAAGAUAAUGACAGUACCUGAAUAAGAAGCCCCGGCUAACUACGUG